ACUAUAGAAGCUAAACAGGACAGCACUAACCUUUUAAGUUAGAGAAGAGAAACACCCGCCUCUCCUUAGUG
RNAcentral lists this transfer RNA (71 nucleotides) under Dogania subplana. Its description in RNAcentral is "tRNA-Lys". Lineage: Eukaryota; Metazoa; Chordata; Testudines; Trionychidae. The record is from RNAcentral.